UUAAGCGACUAAGCGUACACGGUGGAUGCCCUGGCAGUCAGAGGCGAUGAAGGACGUGCUAAUCUGCGAUAAGCGUCGGUAAGGUGAUAUGAACCGUUAUAACCGGCGAUUUCCGAAUGGGGAAACCCAGUGUGUUUCGACACACUAUCAUUAACUGAAUCCAUAGGUUAAUGAGGCGAACCGGGGGAACUGAAACAUCUAAGUACCCCGAGGAAAAGAAAUCAACCGAGAUUCCCCCAGUAGCGGCGAGCGAACGGGGAGGAGCCCAGAGCCUGAAUCAGUGUGUGUGUUAGUGGAAGCGUCUGGAAAGGCGCGCGAUACAGGGUGACAGCCCCGUACACAAAAAUGCACAUAUUGUGAGCUCGAUGAGUAGGGCGGGACACGUGGUAUCCUGUCUGAAUAUGGGGGGACCAUCCUCCAAGGCUAAAUACUCCUGACUGACCGAUAGUGAACCAGUACCGUGAGGGAAAGGCGAAAAGAACCCCGGCGAGGGGAGUGAAAAAGAACCUGAAACCGUGUACGUACAAGCAGUGGGAGCACGCUUAGGCGUGUGACUGCGUACCUUUUGUAUAAUGGGUCAGCGACUUAUAUUCUGUAGCAAGGUUAACCGAAUAGGGGAGCCGAAGGGAAACCGAGUCUUAACUGGGCGUUAAGUUGCAGGGUAUAGACCCGAAACCCGGUGAUCUAGCCAUGGGCAGGUUGAAGGUUGGGUAACACUAACUGGAGGACCGAACCGACUAAUGUUGAAAAAUUAGCGGAUGACUUGUGGCUGGGGGUGAAAGGCCAAUCAAACCGGGAGAUAGCUGGUUCUCCCCGAAAGCUAUUUAGGUAGCGCCUCGUGAAUUCAUCUCCGGGGGUAGAGCACUGUUUCGGCAAGGGGGUCAUCCCGACUUACCAACCCGAUGCAAACUGCGAAUACCGGAGAAUGUUAUCACGGGAGACACACGGCGGGUGCUAACGUCCGUCGUGAAGAGGGAAACAACCCAGACCGCCAGCUAAGGUCCCAAAGUCAUGGUUAAGUGGGAAACGAUGUGGGAAGGCCCAGACAGCCAGGAUGUUGGCUUAGAAGCAGCCAUCAUUUAAAGAAAGCGUAAUAGCUCACUGGUCGAGUCGGCCUGCGCGGAAGAUGUAACGGGGCUAAACCAUGCACCGAAGCUGCGGCAGCGACGCUUAUGCGUUGUUGGGUAGGGGAGCGUUCUGUAAGCCUGUGAAGGUGUACUGUGAGGUAUGCUGGAGGUAUCAGAAGUGCGAAUGCUGACAUAAGUAACGAUAAAGCGGGUGAAAAGCCCGCUCGCCGGAAGACCAAGGGUUCCUGUCCAACGUUAAUCGGGGCAGGGUGAGUCGACCCCUAAGGCGAGGCCGAAAGGCGUAGUCGAUGGGAAACAGGUUAAUAUUCCUGUACUUGGUGUUACUGCGAAGGGGGGACGGAGAAGGCUAUGUUGGCCGGGCGACGGUUGUCCCGGUUUAAGCGUGUAGGCUGGUUUUCCAGGCAAAUCCGGAAAAUCAAGGCUGAGGCGUGAUGACGAGGCACUACGGUGCUGAAGCAACAAAUGCCCUGCUUCCAGGAAAAGCCUCUAAGCAUCAGGUAACAUCAAAUCGUACCCCAAACCGACACAGGUGGUCAGGUAGAGAAUACCAAGGCGCUUGAGAGAACUCGGGUGAAGGAACUAGGCAAAAUGGUGCCGUAACUUCGGGAGAAGGCACGCUGAUAUGUAGGUGAAGUCCCUUGCGGAUGGAGCUGAAAUCAGUCGAAGAUACCAGCUGGCUGCAACUGUUUAUUAAAAACACAGCACUGUGCAAACACGAAAGUGGACGUAUACGGUGUGACGCCUGCCCGGUGCCGGAAGGUUAAUUGAUGGGGUCAGCGCAAGCGAAGCUCUUGAUCGAAGCCCCGGUAAACGGCGGCCGUAACUAUAACGGUCCUAAGGUAGCGAAAUUCCUUGUCGGGUAAGUUCCGACCUGCACGAAUGGCGUAAUGAUGGCCAGGCUGUCUCCACCCGAGACUCAGUGAAAUUGAACUCGCUGUGAAGAUGCAGUGUACCCGCGGCAAGACGGAAAGACCCCGUGAACCUUUACUAUAGCUUGACACUGAACAUUGAGCCUUGAUGUGUAGGAUAGGUGGGAGGCUUUGAAGUGUGGACGCCAGUCUGCAUGGAGCCGACCUUGAAAUACCACCCUUUAAUGUUUGAUGUUCUAACGUUGACCCGUAAUCCGGGUUGCGGACAGUGUCUGGUGGGUAGUUUGACUGGGGCGGUCUCCUCCUAAAGAGUAACGGAGGAGCACGAAGGUUGGCUAAUCCUGGUCGGACAUCAGGAGGUUAGUGCAAUGGCAUAAGCCAGCUUGACUGCGAGCGUGACGGCGCGAGCAGGUGCGAAAGCAGGUCAUAGUGAUCCGGUGGUUCUGAAUGGAAGGGCCAUCGCUCAACGGAUAAAAGGUACUCCGGGGAUAACAGGCUGAUACCGCCCAAGAGUUCAUAUCGACGGCGGUGUUUGGCACCUCGAUGUCGGCUCAUCACAUCCUGGGGCUGAAGUAGGUCCCAAGGGUAUGGCUGUUCGCCAUUUAAAGUGGUACGCGAGCUGGGUUUAGAACGUCGUGAGACAGUUCGGUCCCUAUCUGCCGUGGGCGCUGGAGAACUGAGGGGGGCUGCUCCUAGUACGAGAGGACCGGAGUGGACGCAUCACUGGUGUUCGGGUUGUCAUGCCAAUGGCACUGCCCGGUAGCUAAAUGCGGAAGAGAUAAGUGCUGAAAGCAUCUAAGCACGAAACUUGCCCCGAGAUGAGUUCUCCCUGACUCCUUGAGAGUCCUGAAGGAACGUUGAAGACGACGACGUUGAUAGGCCGGGUGUGUAAGCGCAGCGAUGCGUUGAGCUAACCGGUACUAAUGAACCGUGAGGCUUAACCUU
RNAcentral lists this ribosomal RNA (2902 nucleotides) under Escherichia coli. RNAcentral's name for it is "bacterial LSU rRNA". It matches the Rfam family "Bacterial large subunit ribosomal RNA". Lineage: Bacteria; Pseudomonadati; Pseudomonadota; Gammaproteobacteria; Enterobacterales; Enterobacteriaceae. The record is from RNAcentral.